GGAGCUGUUUCAGUCCGGGAAAAGGAAAAAAAAAGAAUUAAGAAGAAAACUUCCGGCUUCCGUUCGGUACUUAGGUUAUGGUAAAAGUAGAAAAUAAAAGAAGCUUAAGUUAUCCUCUACGGUCUCUGGUUAGUACUUAGAUGAUUCGUAGCAUAAUACGGGAUGGAAGAUCUUUUGCUGGAGCCAUUGUUCUCGAUUGCUUAUCAUAAUUGUGGAUUGCGAUUUGAGAUUUGAUGCUUGACAAGGGAGUUGAUCAACGUGGAGCCUAGAGAAUGAUUUUAGAUGUUUAAAGUUAUCAUUUAUGCCUAAAAUUCUAUUUUAAAAUGUAAUUAAUCUUAGUUUAAUGCUGUAAAAAUAUUGUAUGAUGUUGAGUUGACUGAUUUUCUUUUUAAAUUC
Molecule: long non-coding RNA, 396 nt
Organism: Papaver somniferum (opium poppy)
Lineage: Eukaryota; Viridiplantae; Streptophyta; Magnoliopsida; Ranunculales; Papaveraceae
Exons: 2
Source: RefSeq, a predicted model, not a curated record